RNA transcript from Rosa chinensis, 3029 nucleotides. RefSeq lists it as uncharacterized. Lineage: Eukaryota; Viridiplantae; Streptophyta; Magnoliopsida; Rosales; Rosaceae. The transcript is spliced from 4 exons. The record is from RefSeq and is a predicted model, not a curated record.
UACUAGUCCGAAACCAGCCAAACUCCGGGUAUUUGAUUCGCUGAAAGACGAAGAGCGAAAAGAGUCCGAAGAGGGUUUUUAACUUCGGAGGUAAAACCUUUCUGGGUCAAUUGAGAAGCCUUGGCUUACUGGGUCAGUCUGGAACCUUUUUCUUACUGGGAACCUUCUGCUUUCGUUGAUUUCAGCUUCCCCAAGUUACUUCACCUCAAAAGUCUCAGUCUUGGAAGCAAUUAACACCCAAAGAGAACAUCUUUCCAGCCACGGAAACCAAUCAAUCAAUCAGGUACCUCAUACGACAAUCAAGUUCUUAGUUUCAGAUUGUCGUCUGCAGCUUCUGAUUUUAAUCACUGUUGAGGUACUUCAGCCUUUUCUUUUUCUGGGUUCGUUUGAUUGCAUUGAAUUGUGCCUCAAGUUCAUUUCUUUAUGCGAGUUGUAUCGAAUUCUGUGAGUGUUUAUGGUGUAUAUUGGGGUUUUUGGAUUUUGGGUAUGCUCUGUUUGGUUGCUGAAAAGAUAGGUGGGAAUUGGAGAUUCAGAAGCUUAAAGAGUUAUUUGCUAUGUGGGCCAUGAAAAUUAAUUAUAUUAUUAGUUAGUUGAGUUGAGUUUGAGGAUUACAUAGUCUUAAGAUUCUUGUUAUAGAUUGGUUGGGGUUUCCUGUGUAAAAGGGGUUGAUGCUCUUGGAAUGGCACUUGCGUUGGUCCGGAACCUACAGAACUUUUGGCCCUUUUCAGUACUCAAACCCGAUGACCUGAAGUUAUCUAAUGAAUUAGUACGCAAACUUGGAAUACCCGAAAACACGAAGCAAUUUGUUUAUGCGGUUCGUGAGCCCGAGACGGAGUCUGUGAUUUAUGUAUUAUCUGCCCAGAGUUUAUCAGAGUGGUCAGCAUUGGAUGUUGAGUGUUUGAUUAGGGAGGUAAAACCUGAUGCGGUCAUUGCGGAGGUGGAUGUUUCAACCAUGACUGAACUUCAGUCAGAGAAGAGUGUGUCAAGAGAUGGUGUUGACAACUCAGUUCCCACUUCGUCGUUUGAGGUUCUGAAACGAUGUUUUCUGGAGAAGGUCAAUAAGGAUAAGUAUGAGAGUCUUGCAGGAGAAUUGGUUUUACAAGAGAUUUUUGGGGUUGGUUUUCAUGGACAUUUUUUGGCGGCUAGAAGGGUAGCUCAAGAAGUUGGGUCAUCAUUCUUGGUGCUUGAAUUUCCGUCUGGAAAAAAUUCUGAUGGUGAGGAUACCUCAGGUGAACUUGAUGCAGUGGCAAAGUUCCAAGGUUUAGCUAGUAGUUUGGUUCCACAGCAAUUGGGUUCAGUUGCUUCAUUGAGUUCGAAGAGGUUUCACCUAACCAAUGAUUUGCAGUCACAGAUGGUGAAGUUGUUAUGUCCAUACAUAGAUCUCUCAAUAUCAAGGCUAAGUCCAUCCAGUUCUGUUUUGGAGGUGGGGUCAAAAGAUAUUCCACCGCAAUCUAGUUACGAGGUCCCACAAUUUGCUCAAUCAUUUUACCCAUUACUUGUUGAUCUAUAUAACAUAUUUAUUGAUCUUCCAUCAAUAGGAAAGGUUCUAGCUCAUGCGCAAAAGAUGCUUUAUGAUGUGAACAAAGGUGAAGCUGUAGAUACCAAAGAUAUAUGUGAAGUGUAUGCCUUCAGGAUUGCUGUUGAGGGGCUGAGAAUUUCUUUCAACAAUGCUGGUCGACUUCCCAUUAAUAAAAUAAGGAAUCCCAACUUAAAUAAGACUGAGUUUUCUGAUCUUCCAGUUGAGGACAAAUCUCAAGCUCUCUUCGCACAGGCCCUUCGGAGCCAGACUAAGAAGUUCAAUACCAUAGUGGCAGUAGUGGAUGCUAGUUGCUUGGCAGGUCUUCGAAAACAUUGGAAUACUCCUGUUCCUCUAGAGGUAAAGGAAUUGGUUGGACAGCUCAUUACUGAUUGUGGUGGUGAGGGGGAAAUGGCUAAUCAUACUGACAAGAAGCGGUUAAUUAGUGGUAAACCUUUGGUGGCAGUUGGGGCCGGGGCAACAGCGGUUUUAGGAGUCUCUUCACUCUCUAAGGUUGUUCCUGCUUCGACCUUUAUGAAGGUUGUGACUUUCAAAGUUCCUACUUCGACCCUUGUGAAGGUUGUGACUCUCAAACUUCCUUCUUCAUUUCAAUUCUUCUUAAGCCAAGCCCAUAAGACAGUGGGACUUUCCCUUAGUAAGAUUCUUGGCACAUCGAAAGUGUUAGUUCCUGGUGUUGCAAGUUCUGGAGUCAAAACAACAACUGUGUUGAAAGCAACUGCGUCUCCUGAGAAGAUUCGAGCAGUUGCCCACAGUGUUAUUGCCAGUGCUGAGAAGACCAGCUUUUCAGCAAUGAGAACAGCAUUUUAUCAAAUAAUGAGAAAACGGCAGGUCCGUCCAAUCGGUGUCCUACCAUGGGCUACGUUUGGAUGUAGUAUUGCAACUUGUGCCGGGUUAUUUGCGUAUGGAGAUGGGAUUGAAUGUGCAGCUGAAUCUGCUCCUGCAGCUCCAUCAAUUGCCAGUUUGGGUCGUGGGAUUCAAGGUUUACAUCUGGCGUCUCAGGAAGUGAUGCAGACAGAUGGCACCAAAGUACAAAGAUCUAUCGACUCACUAAUGUACAGUUUGAAGAAAGUCAGAGUUCAAUAGAGCAAGUAGGUGGCUGGGUGCAGAGGUUGUUUAAGCAGUGGAGGCUUCAAGGUGUGUGUGUUGUUUUUUGUUGAUUAAAAUCAGAUACAAGAAAUUACAUUGCUAGGAUGGGACAGGUCACAUCCUUCAUUCCCUUUUCUAAAAGCUCUUCUGAUGACUUGGUCAACUUAGUAAUUCUUUGCGCCAUUCAAUUUUGCUGUAUGUAUAUUUAAAUGUCUUAAUUGUGUCAUUGUAAUGAAAGUCUACCUGCAUAUUUGCAGUGUUUUGUGUCGAUGAAUUAUUUAGUGCAUUCAUGUUGUAUUUUCGCUCCUUGCACUUGUUGGAGCUAAGGAGAGAAAAUGCAUCGCUCUUUUCUGAUUUUGUUGCAACACUACAGUUUCAUCCCCUGGUAUUAUUUCUUCUUCCGAAU